AGACGAGGCUAGCUCUUCUCCUCAGCCCGAACGGCAUCGAAGUAAAUCAAGCUUCUUAUCCCGAACUCGUU
This 71-nucleotide non-coding RNA is filed under the name Legionella shakespearei DSM 23087. RNAcentral's name for it is "Legionella RNA 69". It matches the Rfam family "Legionella RNA 69". Lineage: Bacteria; Pseudomonadati; Pseudomonadota; Gammaproteobacteria; Legionellales; Legionellaceae. The record is from Rfam by way of RNAcentral.